CGAGGCGUAGCGCAGCUGGUAGCGCGCAGCGUUCGGGACGCUGAAGUCGUGAGUUCGAAUCUCGUCGCCUCGACCA
This 76-nucleotide transfer RNA is filed under the name Clostridia bacterium. RNAcentral describes it as "tRNA-Pro". It matches the Rfam family "tRNA". Rfam says of the family: Transfer RNA (tRNA) molecules are approximately 80 nucleotides in length. Lineage: Bacteria; Bacillati; Bacillota; Clostridia. The record is from RNAcentral.